AACAAGAGUGAUGGAAAUCGAGAGGAAAGAAAGUUCAUUUAAGUGGAGAAAGAUAUAAGAAGGCCGCCAUGUUGUGUCCUUUCUGUGGCCAACAUCUGGGGACAGUUCAAGUGUUCUGUGGCUCCUGUGGCAAACAUGUACAGUUUGUGGCAGAAGUUGAACACAACAGCGUUCCAUAAGGAGGGUCAGGAACUCACGCUUGGGACCACCAGUGUCCCCUCCAUCCUCAGUUUGUCCCUCAUCAUCAGUGAACUUAACUGACGUCUCAUGAGGGAUCGAAUGAGGCACCUUUGAAGCCGCGGAUUGCUCCAUCCCACACAUUGGCUCUAUUCAUAUUGAACCUGCUGCAAGAUGUAUUUGUUAUUUUUGCAGAGAGUUCUGCAACAAAGUCCGCCGCAGUCAGGUAUUCUGUGCUGGGAAAGACAAAGUGAUGUAUUGUAAUAUUAAAUGAUGAAGCUAGUAAUAAGAUUUACAGAAUAGAAUAGAAAAAUCAAGUGGUAAUAGUAACAAUUAAUACCUUUGCUCCAUUUUGUCUUCUGGCUCAGACUGGCUAUCAAUAAUGAUAAGUGCAUACACAGUUGUGUAGUUGCUGCAGUGAGAAGACAGUUGAAUAAUACUUUCAAAUACAUAAUAUAUGCAU
This is a long non-coding RNA of Gymnodraco acuticeps, 640 nucleotides long. RefSeq lists it as uncharacterized. NCBI's taxonomy places the organism in Eukaryota, Metazoa, Chordata, Actinopteri, Perciformes, Bathydraconidae. The transcript has 3 exons. The record is from RefSeq and is a predicted model, not a curated record.